CCAGUAGUCAUACGCUCGUCUCAAAGAUUAAGCCAUGCAUGUGUAAGUAUAAAUAAUUUUACUUUGAAACUGCGAAUGGCUCAUUAUAUCAGUUAUAGUUUAUUAGAAAUAUUUUACUACUUGGAUAACCGUAGUAAUUCUAGGGCUAAUACAUGAGUAAAACCUCAACUUCGGAAGAGGUGUGUUUAUUAGUAUGAAAACCAUAUAUCUUCGGAUAUAAUAGUGAGUAAUAAUAACCUUUCAUAUCGUAUGUCGUAAGAUAACGAUAGUUCUUUCAAGUUUCUGCCCUAUCAGCUUUCGAUGGUAGUAUAUGGGACUACCAUGGCAGUAACGGGUAACGAAGAAUUUGGGUUCGAUUUCGGAGAGGGAGCCUGAGAGAUGGCUACCACAUCCAAGGAAGGCAGCAGGCGCGUAAAUUACCCAAUCCUGACAUAGGGAGGUAGUGACAAUAAAUCACAAUGCGGAACUU
Molecule: ribosomal RNA, 469 nt
Filed under: Blastocystis sp.
Lineage: Eukaryota; Bigyra; Opalinata; Blastocystidae
Description: SSU rRNA
Rfam family: Eukaryotic small subunit ribosomal RNA
Source: RNAcentral